Molecule: transfer RNA, 65 nt
Filed under: Elateridae sp. GENSP01
Lineage: Eukaryota; Metazoa; Arthropoda; Insecta; Coleoptera; Elateridae
Description: tRNA-His
Source: RNAcentral
AUCUAAAUAGUUUAAUUUAAAAUAUUGAUUUGUGGGGUCAAAGAUGUAAUAAUUUACUUUAGAUA